Molecule: ribosomal RNA, 253 nt
Filed under: uncultured bacterium
Lineage: Bacteria
Description: partial 16S ribosomal RNA
Rfam family: Bacterial small subunit ribosomal RNA
Source: RNAcentral
UACGGAGGGGGCAAGCGUUACUCGGAAUUAUUGGGCGUAAAGGGCGCGUAGGCGGUCGUGUGCGUCGAGGGUGAAAUCCCCGGGCUUAACCCGGGAGCUGCCUUCGAUACGGCACGGCUUGAGUCCGGGAGAGGGAUGUGGAAUUCCAGGUGUAGCGGUGAAAUGCGUAGAUAUCUGGAGGAACACCGGUGGCGAAGGCGACAUCCUGGACCGGUAUUGACGCUGAGGCGCGAAAGCCAGGGGAGCAAACGGG